UACGGGGGGAGCGAGCGUUGUCCGGAUUUAUUGGGCGUAAAGGGCAUGUAGGUGGUCUUUUAAGUCAGUUGUUAAAACUAUCGGCUUAACCGGUAAUUGCAAUUGAUACUGGAAGACUUGAAUCUGAGAGGGGAUAGUGGAAUAUCAAGUGUAGCGGUGGAAUGCGUAGAUAUUUGAUAGAACACCUGAGGUGAAGACGACUAUCUGGUUCAUGAUUGACACUGAAAUGCGAAAGUAUGGGGAGCAAACAGGAUUAGAUACCCUGGUAGUCCAUACCGUAAACGAUGGGAACUAGGUGUCUGGGGACUAACCCCCUGGGCGCCGUAGCUAACGCGUUAAGUUCCCCGCCUGGGGAGUACGAUCGCAAGGUUGAA
RNAcentral lists this ribosomal RNA (374 nucleotides) under uncultured bacterium. Its description in RNAcentral is "bacterial SSU rRNA". It matches the Rfam family "Bacterial small subunit ribosomal RNA", at positions 524 to 898 of the family's 1533-position model. The record is from RNAcentral.